UGAGGCACGAAAGCAUGGGUAGCAAACAGGAUUAGAUACCCUGGUAGUCCAUGCUGUAAACGAUGAUUACUAGGUGUGGGUGGUCUGACCCCAUCCGUGCCGGAGUUAACACAAUAAGUAAUCCACCUGGGGAGUACGACCGCAAGGUUGAAACUCAAAGGAAUUGACGGGGGCCCGCACAAGCAGUGGAGUAUGUGGUUUAAUUCGAAGCAACGCGAAGAACCUUACCAGGUCUUGACAUCCAACUAACGAAGCAGAGAUGCAUUAGGUGCCCUUCGGGGAAAGUUGAGACAGGUGGUGCAUGGUUGUCGUCAGCUCGUGUCGUGAGAUGUUGGGUUAAGUCCCGCAACGAGCGCAACCCUUGUGAUUAGUUGCUACGCAAGAGCACUCUAAUCAGACUGCCGUUGACAAAACGGAGGAAGGUGGGGACGACGUCAAAUCAUCAUGCCCCUUAUGACCUGGGCUACACACGUACUUUAAUGCGACUCCCCAUAGGGAAGCAAGACCGCGAGGUGGAGCAAACCCCUAAAAACGGUCUCAGUUCGGAUCGCAGGCUGCAACCCGCCUGCGUGAAGCUGGAAUUGCUAGUAAUCGCGGAUCAUCAUGCCGCGGUGAAUACGUUCCCGGGCCUUGUACACACCGCCCGUCACACCAUGGGAGCCGGUAAUACCCGAAGUCGGUAGUCUAACCGCAAGGAGGACGCCGCCGAAGGUAGGAUUGGCGACUGGGGUGAAGUCGUAACAAGGUAA
This 749-nucleotide ribosomal RNA is filed under the name uncultured bacterium. RNAcentral describes it as "bacterial SSU rRNA". It matches the Rfam family "Bacterial small subunit ribosomal RNA", at positions 747 to 1499 of the family's 1533-position model. The record is from RNAcentral.